GCAUACCUCUUCAUUUAUGCGUCAUGACUUGUAUCGUCUUGAGCGUAUUGUGGGUUUCCUGUGUUGCAUACCUAACUAAUGGUAUCGUUUUGAUUGAUYGAAGUCCCUUUUCAUCUUGUGUUGCCUUUGUGACGCAUGAUGAACCUCGAAGCGGUCUCUAUGUUCCACCACGUUGAUGCUAGUGUUUCGAUGUUGUGGCCCAUCGAGCGUUGCUUGGUUUCGUGGAUACAGAACAUGAUUUGGGCAUAGGGUCACUCGUGACUCUUGUUCUGUCCUUUACCAGUGUUCUUUAUAAYGACGGUUCAUGCGCGCCUAGGCUCGUACCUGCGCGAUGUUCUUUGUCGAAGAGGAAUGCUACCUGGUUGAUCCUGCCAGUAGUCAUAUGCUUGUCUCAAAGAUUAAGCCA
This 406-nucleotide unclassified non-coding RNA is filed under the name Senecio mauricei. RNAcentral's name for it is "partial external transcribed spacer". The stretch from base 356 to 406 matches the Rfam family "Eukaryotic small subunit ribosomal RNA", at positions 1 to 51 of the family's 1831-position model. Lineage: Eukaryota; Viridiplantae; Streptophyta; Magnoliopsida; Asterales; Asteraceae. The record is from RNAcentral.